GGGGAUGUAGCUCAGUGGUACAGCACCUGCCCGACAAGCAUGAGGUCCUGAGUUUAAUUCCCAGUACCA
RNAcentral lists this transfer RNA (69 nucleotides) under Heterocephalus glaber (naked mole-rat). It matches the Rfam family "tRNA". From Rfam's summary of the family: Transfer RNA (tRNA) molecules are approximately 80 nucleotides in length. Their secondary structure includes four short double-helical elements and three loops (D, anti-codon, and T loops). The record is from Rfam by way of RNAcentral. Lineage: Eukaryota; Metazoa; Chordata; Mammalia; Rodentia; Bathyergidae.